UUUUCACACGGAUUCACUGCAAAAAACAUUCUGCUGCUAUAAAACCCAUGUAUGUUGUUGUUCCGCCUUUUCAGAUCUUCCAUCUCUCUCUCGUCACACUGUUUCUUCUCGUGUGAAGCUCACUGAAACAGUAUUUCUCAAGAAUAGAGAUCGCUUCCACUGCAAUACACGCCACCAUGUUUGGAGACAUCCUACACAUAUGACAACAAAAUUAGAAUAUCUGCAUGAGCAUGUAUGAGAUGAAAAUAAGUAAUGCUUACGAUUGAGCUAUAAAGAAUUCCAAAACAUCCCAGAGGCUCUCGUACUUAAAGCUUACCAGAAUGUAAAAAUCUCCUUGACGACCCUUGUGAUGUACAGCAGGAAUUCCAUAACAGCUAUGAGCGUACUUUACAGCAGAAAAAAAAAGAGAAAGAACAGAUAAGUAGAGACAAAUAAGGAGAAGAGAAACUAAGAAGGACAUGUAGAACAUGCAAGUCUUACUUGUACACUUGCCACUCGUAAAGUUUUUUUUGCAGGUAACAAGCAGUCAGGGAGCACGGAAAUACCACUUCUGGCCAUGUUAGAACGUUCUCUCCUGAUAUGGACUCCACGCUAGGUUCUUCAAAUGCACACUGUUUAGCUCACUG
This is a long non-coding RNA of Raphanus sativus (radish), 626 nucleotides long. RefSeq lists it as uncharacterized. The transcript is spliced from 3 exons. The record is from RefSeq and is a predicted model, not a curated record. NCBI's taxonomy places the organism in Eukaryota, Viridiplantae, Streptophyta, Magnoliopsida, Brassicales, Brassicaceae.